Non-coding RNA from Grammomys surdaster, 3015 nucleotides. The record is from the annotation of a RefSeq genome assembly. Lineage: Eukaryota; Metazoa; Chordata; Mammalia; Rodentia; Muridae.
CCCUAAAGAAAGGGGAACUUUAGAUAGUACCUUCUGUCACCCAGUUUCAAUCCUGUUCUUAGCCUGUGCAGAGAUGGGUGUGGGGUGGUAUUCAGACCUUUGUGACAAUUAGGCUGCAACUCCUGAGAGGAAAGAUCCCAGAGCUAAGCUCCUGGCAGUCAUGGGCCAAAGCGAGAAAAGAGGCUGUGACUUUCAUAUUUCCCACACAUGAGUUGCAUCAGCCAGGAAAGGAGAGUGCAGUGGGAGAAGGCCAUGAGACCUGGCUCAGCAGUGGAUAUCAGCAGAAUGGAACCACCAACAACCCAUGUAAGACUGGGAAGAAGUUGAGAUACCAGACUGUGGAGAGGGUCCAUCUGCUACACAGCAGCUGCUGUUACUGUUGCUGUUGCUGCUGUUGCUGCUGCUGCUGCUGCUGCUGCUGCUGCCGCCGUCGCCAACACCAGAGUCAAUCUCAAGAUGAUGGGCUACAUCAGGAGGCCUAGAAGAUGAACUUGGUCUGUCUAGAAGCUGGUAGGAUCAAAUUAGCUGAGUCAGCAGAGAGGAAACCCAGAGGAGGAAGAACUCUGCAGCAGGAAUCUGCAGGGCUAACAAAGUCAGCAAAACAGCUCCAUCUGUCUAUCCCUUGGUGUCUGGCUGCGGUGACAUGUCUGGAUCUCCGGUGACAUUAGGAUGCCUUGUCAAAGGCUAUUUCCCUGAGCCGGUAACCGUAAAAUGGAACUCUGGAUCACUGCCCAGCGGUGUACGUACCUUCCCAGCUGUCCUGCAGUCUGGACUCUACUCCCUCAGCAGCUCAGUGACUGUAUCCUCCAGAACCUGGCCCAGUCAGACCAUCACCUGCAACGUCGUCCACCCGGCCAGCAAAACCGAGUUGGUCACGAGACUUGAGCCCAGAAUACCCACGCCCAAACCCCCGACAGAUACCUCAUGCCUACAUGGUGGACCAUCCGUCUUCAUCUUCCCCCCAAAGCCCAAGGAUGCACUCAUGAUCUCCAGGGUCCCCAAGGUCACGUGUGUGGUGGUGGAUGUGAGCGAGGAUGAGCCAGAUGUUAAGUUCAAUUGGUUUGUGGACAACAAAGAAGUAUACACAGCUCAGACACAGCCCCGUGAGGAGCAGUAUAAUAGUACCUUCCGGGUGGUCAGUGCCCUCCCCAUCCAGCAUCAGGACUGGAUGAACGGCAAGAAAUACACAUGCAAGGUCACGAACAAAGCCCUCCCAGGCCCCAUCCAGAGAACCAUCUCAAAACCCAGAGGAAGAGCCCAGACACCUCAAGUAUAUGCCAUGCCUCCACAUCGUGAACAAAUGUCCAAGAAGAAGGUUAGUCUGACCUGCUUGGUCACCAACUUCUUCUCUGAAGACAUUGACGUGGAAUGGGAAAGGAAUGGGGAGCUGGAGGAGAACUACAAGAACACCCCACCCAUCCUGGACUCAGAUGGGACCUACUUCCUCUACAGCAAGCUCACUGUGGAUACGAACAGUUGGUUGGAAGGAGACAGUUUUACCUGCUCUGUGGUACAUGAGGCUCUUCAUAACCACCACACACAGAAGACCCUGUCCCUCUCCCGUGGGCUGGAACUGAAUGAGACCUGUGCUGAGGCCCAGGACGGGGAGCUGGACGGGCUCUGGACGACCAUCACCGUCUUCAUCAGUCUCUUCCUGCUCAGCGUGUGCUACAGUGCUUCUGUCACAUUCUUCAAGGUGAAGUGGAUCUUCUCCUCGGUGGUACAGGUGAAACACACGGUGGUCCCUGACUACAGAAACAUGAUUGGGCAAGGCGCCUAGCUUGUCUCUUCAGAAGAUGCCAGAGCUUGCUAGCCCUCUAGGACCAAGUCCACUUUGCUGAGCAGCCAGACACACAGAUGACGCUGCCUUCUCAUCUCAGCAUCCUUUGAUCUUAUGGCUCUGACUCUGCUGCUAAUGUCCCUUCCACAUUUAGAGGAGCAUGUGGAGAGCAGGCUUUGCCCCAGACCAUAGACAACAGGACCCAAGCACCACUAUCACAGCCAGAACAAUGGAUAGGGUCAAAACUGCUGUUUCUUCUACAAGGUGUCUAGCCCUCAGCCAGGCACUCCUCCAGGAUGGCCUGCAUCCACUUAGAUGCAAAUAAGCCAUAGAGCCAGCCCUGUCUACACAGUCCUCUGAAAAAGUGUGUUUCUCUGAGAGAAGUUUCCAUAUGCCUCUGAGGCUGAGAAGGCCCCAAAGGGACCUCUGUGGGAUGACUGCCAAAGGUGACCCUAAUAGCCUUCACCCGAUCAGUGUCCUGGCAUGUUUUUUUUUCCUGACACUUAAGCAAACUCUCAGUUCUUGGAAUAUAAGAUGGGGCUCCUUGUGAAGACCCUUCUUCCUGCCAUCUACGCAACAUGAUGGAAUCUCAGAUGCAAGAUCCCAUCAGAGACACUGCUGACCCCACAGCUUGAGGACCAGGGCACUGUUGCCUCACUGGAUGACUUAGAGAGACACUCAGAGGGCCUGGGCUUCACAGCCUCUGUCAGGAUCUAGCAGGUGCAGGAGCCACUGACCAGUGGCUGAGCAACCCAGAAAAACCUGUAAGAGAAGGGCAUGAUGAACAGACACCAGUCAGUCCCAAAGGUGGUCCAGGAGCAACAUGAGGAGAAAGAGAGGAUGCUUAAAAAGCCAGGCAGGAAUGGGUCUUUCCUGCAGCCUGGCAUCUAGACUGGACCACUGAGAGCAGAGAACACCAGUUAUAGUAGACAUCCAUGGAGACAGCCCAGGCCAGCCACUGAGGCUGACUGACCGCUGGCACUGGAGAGGCACCGUGACUGUUUCUCCAUUUCAUAUCAAGGCAAAUGCCAGGCCAGAGUCCCCAACAAAGGAGAAACUCAGGAAGGAAAGUGGGGGUGCCUGGCUCUUAGGGAACUCCAACAGAUGUUCACUGACAUGAAGCUUAGCUUUUCCAGCUUUUUCUUUAAAUUUUCUGGAGCCCGGUCAUAUCAUUAAGGUCCCUCUUCAUCUUUUUUUAUAAUAAUAAUAAUAAAACAUCCUUCAACACUGUACAA